AGCUCCAAUAGCGUAUAUUAAAGUUGUUGCAGUUAAAAAGCUCGUAGUUGAAGUUAUGGGGCUCUGAACCUGACGCAUAACCGCCUCGGUUCAGUGCUCCAUAUUCACAAAGAUGCUCUUGCACAUUAACUUGUGCUUGGGCGGAGUUGUGUCAUUUACUGUGAACAAAUUAGGGUGUUUAAAGCAGGCCUCCGUUUGGAUACAUUAGCAUGGAAUAAUAAGAUAUAACUUUGAUUGUAUUUUGUUGGUGACUAUCAAAGUAAUGAUUGACAGAAACUGUUGUGGGUAUUCGUAUGAGCAUGUCAGAGGUGAAAUUCUUGGAUUUUGAUCAGACGAACUACUGCGAAAGCAUUUACCAAGGAUGUUUUCA
Molecule: ribosomal RNA, 370 nt
Filed under: uncultured eukaryote
Lineage: Eukaryota
Description: SSU rRNA
Rfam family: Eukaryotic small subunit ribosomal RNA
Source: RNAcentral